CCUACGGGUGGCUGCAGUAAGGAAUAUUGGUCAAUGGACGAAAGUCUGAACCAGCCAUGCCGCGUGAAGGAUGAAGGUCCUCUGGAUUGUAAACUUCUUUUAUCUGGGACGAAAAAAGGGAAUUCUUUCUCACUUGACGGUACCAGAAGAAUAAGCACCGGCUAACUCCGUGCCAGCAGCCGCGGUAAUACGGAGGGUGCAAGCGUUAUCCGGAUUCACUGGGGUUAAAGUGGGCAUUUAUGGGCGUGUAGAAAGCUCCGGGCUUAACCCGGAAACUGCCAUUGAUACUAUCUGUCUUGAAUACUCUGGAGGUAAGCGGAAUAUGUCAUGUAGCGGUGAAAUGCUUAGAUAUGACAUAGAACACCGAUUGCGAAGGCAGCUUACUACGGAGUCAUUGACACUGAGGCACGAAAGCGUGGGGAUCAAAGAGGAUUAGAUACCCCAGUAGUC
RNAcentral lists this ribosomal RNA (450 nucleotides) under uncultured bacterium. RNAcentral's name for it is "partial 16S ribosomal RNA". It matches the Rfam family "Bacterial small subunit ribosomal RNA", at positions 338 to 795 of the family's 1533-position model. The record is from RNAcentral.